This 99-nucleotide ribosomal RNA is filed under the name uncultured bacterium. Its description in RNAcentral is "partial 16S ribosomal RNA". It matches the Rfam family "Bacterial small subunit ribosomal RNA", at positions 258 to 353 of the family's 1533-position model. The record is from RNAcentral.
UAGGGACGCUACCAAGGCGACGAUCCCUAGCUGGUCUGAGAGGAUGACCAGCCACACUGGAACUGAGACACGGUCCAGACUCCUACGGGAGGCAGCAUG